GAUGUCAUGGUAACUGGCAUUGCUUUCCUGCUAAUGUGCUUUCCUCACCAUACACUAGAAGUCAAGUUGACCUUUGCAGGAGCCUCUGCUGGGAUACAAGUGAAGCCCUUCAGCAUCCCUUUCAUCCAAAGCCAGAGAUCUCUCCCCGAUUGAUAGGACAUCCAUUAGCUCUUUCAUUGUGUGGAACUGAAUGUUUAUCUCCUACUGAAAUGUUAUGUACACAAGGAUCAACAUGUAAGUGGCAUGGCAUCAAGUGUCAGACAUGGCAGCUAAAUUUAGAGCUCACAUCCUUUACUUUCAUCAUGAAGCAGAGAGUGGGAACUGAAAAUGACGGGUGGAUGUAAAUUAUCAAAUCCUACCCCCAGUGACGUAUUUCCUUAGCAGAACAGCAUUUCCUAAACCUUCACAAAUGAUACCACCAACUGAAAAGGAUUUCUUUGACUUCAAGUUUACAUGCUUGCUUUCUGUUAUAUGAACCAAUUCACAAUGAAAAACAUCUCUGUAAACCUUUAAAUGUCUCAAUACCUGUGUUACAGCAAUGCAUGUUUACAAAUGAAUUAGUUUCAUCAAUAAAAUUUUUUGAAGAGUUGUUUUAAUUUUAA
Molecule: non-coding RNA, 602 nt
Organism: Peromyscus maniculatus bairdii (prairie deer mouse)
Lineage: Eukaryota; Metazoa; Chordata; Mammalia; Rodentia; Cricetidae
Source: RefSeq, a predicted model, not a curated record